UCAGUCCUUUGUAUGAACUCACUUGUUGGU
RNAcentral lists this non-coding RNA (30 nucleotides) under Rattus norvegicus (Norway rat). The record is from RNAcentral. Lineage: Eukaryota; Metazoa; Chordata; Mammalia; Rodentia; Muridae.